Molecule: ribosomal RNA, 245 nt
Filed under: uncultured Methanomassiliicoccus sp.
Lineage: Archaea; Methanobacteriati; Thermoplasmatota; Thermoplasmata; Methanomassiliicoccales; Methanomassiliicoccaceae
Description: partial 16S ribosomal RNA
Rfam family: Archaeal small subunit ribosomal RNA
Source: RNAcentral
UACCCGCAGCCCGAGUGGUGGUCAUUAUUAUUGAGCCUAAAGCGUCCGUAGCCGGACUCGUAAAUCCUUGGGUAAAUCGGGCAGCUUAACUGUCCGAAUUCCGAGGAGACUGCGAGUCUUGGGACCGGGAGAGGUCAGAGGUACUCCAGGGGUAAGGGCUAAAUCUUGUAAUCCUUGGGGGACCACCAGUGGCGAAGGCGUCUGACUAGAACGGAUCCGACGGUAAGGGACGAAACCCUGGGGCG